GACGAACGCUGGCGGCGUGCUUAACACAUGCAAGUCGAACGGAAAGGCCCUGCUUUUGUGGGGUGCUCGAGUGGCGAACGGGUGAGUAACACGUGAGUAACCUGCCCUUGACUUUGGGAUAACUUCAGGAAACUGGGGCUAAUACCGGAUAGGAGCUCCUGCUGCAUGGUGGGGGUUGGAAAGUUUCGGCGGUUGGGGAUGGACUCGCGGCUUAUCAGCUUGUUGGUGGGGUAGUGGCUUACCAAGGCUUUGACGGGUAGCCGGCCUGAGAGGGUGACCGGCCACGUUGGGACUGAGAUACGGCCCAGACUCCUACGGGAGGCAGCAGUGGAGAAUAUUGCACAGGGGGCGGAAGCCUGAUGCAGCAACGCCGCGUGCGGGAUGACGGCCUUCGGGUUGUAAACCGCUGUCGCCUGUGACGAAGCGUGAGUGACGGUAAUGGGUAAAGAAGCACCGGCUAACUACGUG
Molecule: ribosomal RNA, 468 nt
Filed under: uncultured bacterium
Lineage: Bacteria
Description: partial 16S ribosomal RNA
Rfam family: Bacterial small subunit ribosomal RNA
Source: RNAcentral